Molecule: ribosomal RNA, 301 nt
Filed under: uncultured bacterium
Lineage: Bacteria
Description: partial 16S ribosomal RNA
Rfam family: Bacterial small subunit ribosomal RNA
Source: RNAcentral
CAGCCGCCGCGGGAAAACGUAGGUGGCAAGUGUUGUCCGGAAUUAUUGGGCGUAAAGGGCGCGUAGGCGGAUGGCACAGUCAGAUGUGAAAUUCCCGGGCUUAACCUGGGGGCUGCAUUUGAUACGUGUUGUCUAGAGUGAGGAAGAGGGUUGUGGAAUUCCCAGUGUAGAGGUGAAAUUCGUAGAUAUUGGGAAGAACACCGGUGGCGAAGGCGGCAACCUGGUCCUUGACUGACGCUGAGGCGCGAAAGCGUGGGGAGCAAACAGGAUUAGAUACCCCCGUAGUCCCUGUCUCUUAUAC